This 497-nucleotide ribosomal RNA is filed under the name uncultured bacterium. RNAcentral's name for it is "partial 16S ribosomal RNA". It matches the Rfam family "Bacterial small subunit ribosomal RNA", at positions 28 to 507 of the family's 1533-position model. The record is from RNAcentral.
GACGAACGCUGGCGGCGUGCCUAAUACAUGCAAGUUGAGCGCUGAAGGUUGGUACUUGUACCAACUGGAUGAGCAGCGAACGGGCGAGUAACGCGUGGGGAAUCUGCCUUUGAGCGGGGGACAACAUUUGGAAACGAAUGCUAAUACCGCAUAAAAACUUUAAACACAAGUUUUAAGUUUGAAAGAUGCAAUUGCAUCACUCAAAGAUGAUCCCGCGUUGUAUUAGCUAGUUGGUGAGGUAAAGGCUCACCAAGGCGAUGAUACAUAGCCGACCUGAGAGGGUGAGCGGCCACAUUGGGACGGAGACACGGCCCAAACUCCUACGGGAGGCAGCAGUAGGGAAUCUUCGGCAAUGGACGAAAGUCUGACCGAGCAACGCCGCGUGAGUGAAGAAGGUUGUCGGAUCGUAAAACUCUGUUGGUAGAGAAGAACGUUGGUGAGAGUGGAAAGCUCAUCAAGUGACGGUAACUACCCAGAAAGGGACGGCUAACUACGUG